AGGGCACCACCAGGAGUGGAGCCUGCGGCUUAAUUUGACUCAACACGGGAAAACUCACCCGGCCCGGACACUGGAAGGAUUGACAGAUUGAGAGCUCUUUCUUGAUUCAGUGGGUGGUGGUGCAUGGCCGUUCUUAGUUGGUGGAGUGAUUUGUCUGGUUAAUUCCGAUAACGAACGAGACUCCAGCCUACUAAAUAGAUCGUCGGCUUACAAACGCCGGCGAGACUUCUUAGAGGGACAGGCGGUGAUUCAACCGCACGAAACAGAGCAAUAACAGGUCUGUGAUGCCCUUAGAUGUCCGGGGCCGCACGCGCGCUACACUGAAGUGAUCAGCGUGCUUUUUCAACCUACUCUGUCAAGAGUGGGGAACCCAAUGGACCUUCUUCGUGAUUGGGAUAGGGGAUUGUAAUUAUUCCCCUUGAACGAGGAAUUCCCAGUAAGCGCGAGUCAUAAGCUCGCGUUGAUUACGUCCCUGCCCUUUGUACACACCGCCCGUCGCUACUACCGAUUGAGUGUUUU
RNAcentral lists this ribosomal RNA (519 nucleotides) under uncultured eukaryote. Its description in RNAcentral is "SSU rRNA". It matches the Rfam family "Eukaryotic small subunit ribosomal RNA", at positions 1161 to 1699 of the family's 1831-position model. The record is from RNAcentral.